This 75-nucleotide transfer RNA is filed under the name Ignavibacteriota bacterium. RNAcentral describes it as "Ignavibacteriae bacterium (activated sludge metagenome) tRNA-Phe". It matches the Rfam family "tRNA". From Rfam's summary of the family: Transfer RNA (tRNA) molecules are approximately 80 nucleotides in length. Their secondary structure includes four short double-helical elements and three loops (D, anti-codon, and T loops). The record is from RNAcentral. Lineage: Bacteria; Pseudomonadati; Ignavibacteriota.
GGUUCUUUAGCUCAGUAGGCAGAGCAAUCGGUUGAAGCCCGAUGCGCAUCGGUUCGAUUCCGAUAGGAGCCACCA